Molecule: long non-coding RNA, 1195 nt
Filed under: Gallus gallus (chicken)
Lineage: Eukaryota; Metazoa; Chordata; Aves; Galliformes; Phasianidae
Description: long non-coding RNA NONGGAT006877
Source: RNAcentral
AAAGGUAUUAGGUGGUGGAUGCAGCUCUUCGUCUGUGCGUUAUGUGCUGUGGCCAAGACAAAUGUUCGUGGCAGUAACAAGUCUGGAUCUGUCACUAUCUUCAUGCCUUUUAGCUUAGCGCACUUUAUUGGGAAAUCCCAGUUUACAGCUCCCAGGGCUUUGCAAAUAAGGAACAGCCUGUUUUGCAGGAGCAGGUGGUGAUAUCUGCACUGUAAUUCUGAAGUUUUACCUUCCAUCCCAUUCUCCUGUGAUUUUUUUUUUCCCGCUUUGUUGCAUAAGAAAAAGAAAAGAAAAGAAAGGCAGCCAGCCUCCUUGUCCUCAGGGAGCACUUCCUCCCCUCUGCAAUGGGAAUGGUUUUUGGACUGGAAUUGCUGCUAUUUGCAAACUUGUUCAGCCCCUGACUUUUCUCGUUGGGUGAGUGCGGCUCUGCCGCACAGAGCAACGCGCACCUGCUGUCUGCCAGCACUGAGUGACGGCUGCUGAUGGAAUCUACGUGGGAAAGCCCUUCGCCAUCAAAAGGCUCUGGCUGUGUGGACGGAUGCAGAGUACUGCCCAUUGGCUCUGACCUAGCCAGGCACAAGCCAGCUCCGGGCUGGGAGCGCACCGCAGCGCGUGCUGGCUGGCCACUGACCCCGAGCUGUCCCAGCCUGGCUGGAACUGCAUCCCCACGUGCUGAGGAGAGCUGCCCUCCGGAAGGCGUCUCUGCUGCUGCUGUGAGAACACAAUCCUGGUGAGAGAGGCCCAGCUAAGCACAGCUCCUUUCAGAUUUGGCCGCUCAGUGUUUUCCAUUAGCUUGAUACAUGCUGUUUACAUCCUACUGCCGCCAGUGCCAGAGAUAACUGCCUUGGGAGCAGCUCCCUGCAGGUAUUGUUAGCAGCUGCUGGAAACAAAGGCGUUUGUUUUAGCCACGUCACUGUCUAAACAGCCAGAAAUAGAUUGCUUUUUUUAUUGCUAGUACGCCAAUAAAAAUCGGUCCGGUUCUCCUGGCCAAAAGAUGCCUUCUGAGAAUCUUGCGUGCUGUGAGGGCUGGCAUCUGUGCAAACAGCCCAGCAACAGCAAAGAGCGUGAUGCUGAGGCGAAGAAUGCAUGAAGGGCUCUCGUGGCAACCAAGCAUUUCUCCUCCACGUGUCAUCACCACCAGCAUCCGCUGCUUGCACUUGGACAGCAUUGCUUCCAGCCAACACCAUGUGGUUCC